Molecule: transfer RNA, 72 nt
Filed under: Shiella aurantiaca
Lineage: Bacteria; Pseudomonadati; Bacteroidota; Cytophagia; Cytophagales; Shiellaceae
Description: tRNA-Arg
Rfam family: tRNA
About the family: Transfer RNA (tRNA) molecules are approximately 80 nucleotides in length. Their secondary structure includes four short double-helical elements and three loops (D, anti-codon, and T loops).
Source: RNAcentral
GAUCCCGUAGUUCAACGGAUAGAAUAGAAGUUUCCUAAACUUUUGAUACAGGUUCGAUUCCUGUCGGGAUCA